This 253-nucleotide ribosomal RNA is filed under the name uncultured bacterium. RNAcentral's name for it is "partial 16S ribosomal RNA". It matches the Rfam family "Bacterial small subunit ribosomal RNA", at positions 524 to 776 of the family's 1533-position model. The record is from RNAcentral.
UACAGAGGGUGCAAGCGUUGUUCGGAAUUAUUGGGCGUAAAGCGCGUGUAGGCGGCUUGGCAAGUCGGGUGUGAAAGCCCUCAGCUCAACUGAGGAAGUGCGCCCGAAACUGCUGAACUCGAGUACCGGAGAGGGUGGCGGAAUUCCCCAAGUAGAGGUGAAAUUCGUAGAGAUGGGGAGGAACACCGGUGGCGAAGGCGGCCACCUGGACGGUCACUGACGCUGAGACGCGAAAGCGUGGGUAGCAAACAGG